CACGUAGGGACCAAGCGUUGUCCGGAUUCAUUGGGCGUAAAGAGCUCGUAGGCGGUUCGAUAAGUCGGGUGUGAAACCUCCAGGCUCAACCUGGAGACGCCACCCGAUACUGUCGUGACUAGAGUCCAGUAGGGGAGCGUGGAAUUCCCGGUGUAGCAGUGAAAUGCGUAGAUAUCGGGAGGAAUACCGAUGGCGAAGGCAGGUCUCUGGGCUAUAACUGACGUUCAUGCACGAAAGCGUGGGGAGCAAACAGG
This 254-nucleotide ribosomal RNA is filed under the name uncultured bacterium. RNAcentral describes it as "partial 16S ribosomal RNA". It matches the Rfam family "Bacterial small subunit ribosomal RNA", at positions 524 to 776 of the family's 1533-position model. The record is from RNAcentral.